Molecule: non-coding RNA, 530 nt
Organism: Camellia sinensis
Lineage: Eukaryota; Viridiplantae; Streptophyta; Magnoliopsida; Ericales; Theaceae
Source: RefSeq, a predicted model, not a curated record
AGGGUGAUGGUUUUUGUACUCCCAAAGGUCAAUUUGAGCCUCCUGUUGCCAUGGGUAAUAAUUCUAUUAAGGAUGGUUCUUUUUGUGCUUCCCAAGGUCAAUCUGAACCUUCUUCCGCCAUUGGUAAUCAUUCCAUGAAGGGAAGUAACACACCUCAGUCAAUGCCUUUAGUCUAUCCCACUCAGACAUCGUUUCAGGAGUUGCUUUGAGGUACUAGUGUUCAACACUUUGCAGUCUAAAUGUCGCAAGCCUCACAUAGUCCUGCUGACAAUCAUGUAGAUGGACAUCCCUGUCGCAAGCCUCACUAGUGUUAUUAUACUUUCAAAUUUGGGUGUAUUUCUUUAUGUUGUUUGGAUUUGGGUCAAUUUUUAUGUUAUUUUUUGCAAUGGGAACAAUGUUUGGAAAGGAUUUACAGUUUACUUGAGAUCAGAGUCAGGUUCUGUAGGUGGAGAUUUGAUGGAUUGUGAGAAUCUGUGAGAUUGUUCUGUCAAUUUUUUUCAAUGUUCUGUUUCAUGCUAUGUAGACCUACA